This is a long non-coding RNA of Rosa chinensis, 822 nucleotides long. RefSeq lists it as uncharacterized. The transcript has 2 exons. The record is from RefSeq and is a predicted model, not a curated record. NCBI's taxonomy places the organism in Eukaryota, Viridiplantae, Streptophyta, Magnoliopsida, Rosales, Rosaceae.
AUGGAUAAUCCUCUAAGUCAGAUCCUUCACCACCAGACAUAUCCUAUCAUUAUAAAAAGUCACUCAUUUAUUUUGUUUGAAAUAAAACGCCGAUUACUUAAGAAAGAACAAAAAAUUUAAGCAGUUCCUUUUGUUCUUAGGCUAAGAAGCACCGAUACGGGUACGAGUAUCCGGAUACGAUGCGAUCGGAUACGUGGAUACGACAAAUCUUAAAUGUAAUUGGAUACGGAUACGCGAAGGAUACGUCAAUUAAAUAUAUAUAUAUAUAUAUAUUAAAUGUAUAUAUAUAAUUAGAAAGAAAAAAAUUAUGAAACAUAAACAAAGUACUAGUUUAUCACAAUCAAAAAUUAUCAAUCCAAAGGUCCAAAGGUCCAAAGGUUCAAAUAAAAGGUUAAAACAACAAAUAACAACUUUGGGACUUCAUUCAAUUUGGACAACAUCCUCAAGGUCUUCAUCUUCAUCAUGAUCAACAUUAAACAAAACUCCCUCUAAUUGUGGUUCAUCAAGUGAAAGGUCAGCAAUCUUUAAUGGGAUAUUGACAAUUCAAUGUAUGACUUGACCGACAAAGUAUCAUUAUCACAAUUCAAUGUAUACAUUUCUGAUUUCUUUAAUGGGAUAUUGACAUAUUGUUUAAAUUUUUUAACCGACAAACUAUCAUUAAUUCAUUAUCCUUUUAUCAUCAAACCAUAAAACCAAACAACCCAUAUAUCCUUAAUUCCUUAUCCUUUAAUCAUCGAAUCCAGCCAACCAUCAGACCCUCCUAGUCGGCAAAAAAAAAAGAAGACAAAAACCAUCAGACCCCGCCCUUACUGAGUACCCCAA